Non-coding RNA from Phrynosoma platyrhinos (Desert horned lizard), 69 nucleotides. The record is from the annotation of a GenBank genome assembly. NCBI's taxonomy places the organism in Eukaryota, Metazoa, Chordata, Lepidosauria, Squamata, Phrynosomatidae.
AGCUUGGUGUAAUGGUUUGAACAUUGGACUUUGACUCUGGAGACCAGGGUUCAAAUCCCAGCUCAGCUA